AUUGAACGCUGGCGGCAGGCCUAACACAUGCAAGUCGAACGGUAACAGGAAGAAGCUUGCUUCUUUGCUGACGAGCGGCGGACGGGUGAGUAAUGUCUGGGAAACUGCCUGAUGGAGGGGGAUAACUACUGGAAACGGUAGCUAAUACCGCAUAACGUCGCAAGACCAAAGAGGGGGACCUUCGGGCCUCUUGCCAUCGGAUGUGCUCAGAUGGGAUUAGCUAGUAGGUGGGGUAACGGCUCACCUAGGCGACGAUCCCUAGCUGGUCUGAGAGGAUGACCAGCCACACUGGAACUGAGACACGGUCCAGACUCCUACGGGAGGCAGCAGUGGGGAAUAUUGCACAAAGGGCGCAAGCCUGAUGCAGCCAUGCCGCGUGUAUGAAGAAGGCCUUCGGGUUGUAAAGUACUUUCAGCGGGGAGGAAGGGAGUAAAGUUAAUACCUUUGCUCAUUGACGUUACCCGCAGAAGAAGCACCGGCUAACUCCGUG
Molecule: ribosomal RNA, 490 nt
Filed under: uncultured bacterium
Lineage: Bacteria
Description: partial 16S ribosomal RNA
Rfam family: Bacterial small subunit ribosomal RNA
Source: RNAcentral